RNAcentral lists this transfer RNA (71 nucleotides) under Camelus bactrianus (Bactrian camel). It matches the Rfam family "tRNA". From Rfam's summary of the family: Transfer RNA (tRNA) molecules are approximately 80 nucleotides in length. Their secondary structure includes four short double-helical elements and three loops (D, anti-codon, and T loops). Lineage: Eukaryota; Metazoa; Chordata; Mammalia; Artiodactyla; Camelidae. The record is from Rfam by way of RNAcentral. RNAcentral also lists the same sequence under 1 other name.
GAGCAUAUAGCUCAGUGGUCGAGUGCAUGCUUGGCAUGUACAAGGUCCUGGGUUCAAUUCUCAGUAGCUCU